This is an RNA transcript of Neofelis nebulosa (Clouded leopard), 6505 nucleotides long. It is a transcript of the gene named neuropilin and tolloid like 1, with no coding region annotated. The transcript is spliced from 12 exons. The record is from RefSeq and is a predicted model, not a curated record. NCBI's taxonomy places the organism in Eukaryota, Metazoa, Chordata, Mammalia, Carnivora, Felidae.
GCGAUGAUGCAAAGGAGGAGGGUGCUGCCGCCGGCGGUGCUGAUGGUGGCGAUCGGCGCCCGGGUGUGAUGCGAGCGUCAUGGUGGGGAUGCUGGCUUCGCGGCGGUGAGACAGCGAGCGAGCGCGAGCGCGAGCCAGGGGCGGAGGACGCCGGAAUUCGGAUCUGGCUGCUGUGUGGGCUCGGAUCUCUCUCCCCUCCCCUCUCCCCCCCCCCCCCCCCCACUCCGUUCGGUUCUCGGUUGGCACACUGAAAAUCCCCCGACUCCGUCCUCUCCCGACCACUGGAAGUCUUCCCGUCUCUAAAUGGAAUUAGUGGAGAUCGGAGCCUCUGGUGUAAGGAACAGACAUGAUCUAUGGACGCAGUUUGUUUCACAUUGUAGCAAGUUUAAUCAUCUUCCAUUUGUCUGGGGCGACCAAGAAAGGAACAGAGAAGCAAACCACCUCAGAAACUCAGAAGUCAGUGCAGUGUGGGACUUGGACAAAACAUGCAGAGGGAGGUAUUUUUACCUCUCCCAACUACCCCAGCAAGUACCCCCCUGACCGAGAGUGCAUCUACAUCAUAGAAGCUGCCCCAAGACAGUGCAUUGAACUUUACUUUGAUGAAAAGUACUCUAUUGAGCCGUCUUGGGAGUGCAAAUUUGAUCAUAUUGAAGUUCGAGAUGGACCUUUCGGAUUUUCUCCAAUAAUUGGACGUUUUUGUGGACAACAAAACCCACCUGUAAUAAAAUCCAGUGGAAGAUUUCUAUGGAUUAAAUUUUUCGCUGAUGGAGAGCUGGAAUCUAUGGGGUUUUCAGCUCGAUACAAUUUCACACCUGAUCCUGACUUUAAGGACCUUGGCGUUUUGAAACCAUUACCAGCAUGUGAGUUUGAGAUGGGCGGCCCAGAAGGAAUUGUGGAGUCUGUACAGAUUAUGAAGGAAGGCAAAGCUUCUGCCAGCGAGGCCGUGGAUUGCAAGUGGUACAUCCGGGCACCUCCACGAUCCAAGAUCUACCUACGUUUCUUGGACUACGAGAUGCAGAAUUCCAAUGAAUGCAAAAGGAACUUUGUGGCCGUGUAUGAUGGGAGCAGUUCCGUGGGGGACCUGAAGGCUAAGUUCUGCAGCACCGUGGCCAAUGACGUCAUGCUCCGCACAGGUCUUGGGGUCAUCCGCAUGUGGGCCGAUGAGGGCAGUCGAAACAGCAGAUUUCAGAUGCUGUUCACAUCCUUCCAAGAACCUCCCUGUGAAGGCAAUACAUUCUUCUGCCAUAGCAACAUGUGUAUUAACAAUACACUGGUCUGCAAUGGACUCCAGAACUGUGUGUAUCCUUGGGAUGAAAAUCAUUGUAAAGAGAAGAGGAAAGCCAGCCUGCUGGACCAGCUCACCAACACCAGUGGGACUGUCAUUGGAGUGACUUCCUGCAUUGUGAUCAUCCUUAUUAUCAUUUCUGUCAUUGUGCAGAUCAAACAGCCUCGUAAAAAAUAUGUCCAAAGGAAAUCGGACUUUGACCAGACAGUUUUCCAGGAGGUGUUUGAACCUCCCCAUUAUGAGUUAUGCACUCUCAGAGGGACAGGAGCUACAGCUGACUUUACAGAUGUGGCAGAGGACUUUGAAAACUACCACAAACUGCGGAGAUCCUCUUCCAAGUGCGUUCACGACCACCACUGUGGGUCCCACGUGUCCAGUACGAAGGGCAGCCGCAGUAACCUCAGCACAAGAGAUGCUUCUGUCUUGACGGAGAUGCCCCCACAGCCCAUCAAACCCCUCAUCCCGCCCAUGAACAGAAGAAAUAUCCUCGUCAUGAAACACAGCUACUCGCAGGAUGCCGCAGAUGCCUGUGACAUCGACGAGAUUGAGGAGGUGCCCACGACGAGUCACAGGCUGUCCCGACACGACAAAGCCGUGCAGCGGUUCUGCCUCAUUGGGUCUCUAAGCAAACAUGAAUCUGAAUACAACACAACUAGGGUCUAAAAAGAAAAUUCAAGAUGCCAUUACACUUUUGGUGCAAUACUUUGUAAAUAGACAGCUCAAUCUUCUUGUCAAGUUCUGAAAGGACAUAUCUAAGGACUAUCCAAGAAAACAUUUUGGAGAUUGUGCUUACUAAAAAAAAAAAAAAAAAAAAAAAUGCAAUCCCAGCAAAAUCCCUUUAGAACCGGACUCGAUCCUGUUGUUUUCCAUGGAGCACUCUCAAUUUACCUGAUGGUCCCGGGCAGGUUAGAACACGGCAGAAGCUGGAGCUCAGUCACAGCAAAGGCAAGCGAAACCACACAUCUGUUAGGAGAGUCUGGUUUUCAACAACAGACACUUAGUUUUCUCAUGUUUUAGAGUAAGCAUUCAUCAUGAAAAUGGCAAGUUGCUACGAGUAAGAUAAGGUUAACUAUAAAGAAGAUUCUUGGACACACAUUGUUUUGUUUAACUGUAUCCUGACUGUCAUUCUGAAGGAAGAUGUUAUUACAUUCUUCGUUUUACAGGAAUGAUGUUGGGUUGUCUGUUCUUAAAGAAGCACCACCAAUCUUCUCUACUAGGACUGGAAACUAGGUCUCCAAGUCUCGCUUCCUUCUCUGGCUCUGGGUUAGAGUUUGUCAGUGACAGACACUCACAAAGGAUUUAAGGGGAAGACGGAGUGGAAGCCAUUCUUCUCAGGAGGUCUUGGGGGGCAGACGCAGCGGCUUCUUGGCCACACCCACGAACUCCCAGUUCUCCAUCGUGGUGACCAGACAUGGAAGCUUCUACGUGUCUGUGAGCUCUGGCUUCUGUCCAGUCCCCGUGCUGCAGUCAACGGUCCUCAGGGACUGCUUCUCCAGUCCUUCAGCUACUGCCUUCCAGACUUUUACUAGCCAUCUCCACUCACAUCUGUGGGAUCCCCAACUCCCAUCUUAAAUUCCUCAUUCUUAAAAUGCUCUAGAAAUUCUAUUUCCCUGACUGAACCCAGACUAACACAGGUGGAAGGUUGGUACUGGGGCCUAAUCCCAAGUGCGUGAUCAUCAGUAAAGGUGCAGUGUUUCUCUUCUGAAAGAAACAAAGAAUGGCCGCUCAGUGGAACACACUGGAAAUUUUAGAAAUAAUGUAUACUGCAGCAAGUUCACUUAAUUCUACCCAGUCGACUGUGAAGGGGAGGGAAUGAUAGAAAGCAUCAGAGAAAUAAUUAACAUGUGCAAAGAAGCCUGUGGAAAUGAUAAGGUGAAUGUUUACCUAAUUCUUUUACCAGUCAAGUAUAGUGCCCUUGGGAGGAGAGGAACGACAUGUAUUGGCUUUGAUAUAAGUGGGUUGCACACACAUGUGCAAAAGGAUUUUGACAUCAUAAGAGCAAAAAUAGGAACCGUGUUCUCAAUAUCGAGAAAUGAGACGAAGGAUAUAAUGUGUUGAUAAGGAUAUUGGUAGAUUAUAUAUUGACUAUAUUUUUAAAAGCCUAUACUCUAGAAAAUGUACUUCACUUUUUACUGUUAACAUGGCCACCAUUUGUUGUGUCUGUACAAGGUUUGAGCCCACUGAGUUUAUAAGAAAUUACAUAUUUUUUUUGUGUGAUAGGUAAUGUAGUACAAGCAUAUGAAAAUAACAUGUUCAGGUAAGCAUAUGAUUUAACAGCCUGGAUUGUUAAGUCGUGGAUCAUAAAGAUAAGGUCUUAGUGCACACCAAGGAGCAGCAUAUUAAAACUAUAUACGAUGGAAAAAAACCAGUUUCUUGCGUGCAGGGUGUACGAAACUCAAACAUAAAAUGAUGGUACUGUCACUGAUGCUGUCAUAAAGAUUAAUGCAGAGGAAACCUUUUUGAAAACGAAAUAUGCUAUUAAAUGUUCAUUAAGAGAUUCGGCCCCAUCUAUCAGUAUCCACUAAAUAAAGAUUAACAGCCGUCUCUCUACUACAGAUGUUACUUAUUCUGUCUUGGUCUCAGACAAAAGAAUCUUUAUCCAUAACACUGCUGCAAAUUUCUCAUUGAAAGGAAUCAAGACAAUACACAAAUACAUUAUGUGACUCUUAACAAUCUGAUCGAAAUAGUUACAGACAAAAUUUUGUUUGACACAAGUGAAUACUAAUUUGUGAAUUCAAAAUAUGACUGAUUUAGUAUAAUAUCUUCAAAAGAGCAAGAAGAAAAACUAGGUCUGUAAUAUGGUAAAUGUGUAGUGAGCCUUUCCCACAGUGUCGCAAAGAACGUCUCUGGAGCCGAUUCCCAAUUAAGAAUGUCACUUGCGGGGACAGCAAAGGCGCCUGGUUUCAGCGUCUUUCACCUGAAAUGUUCAGUCUCUUGCAAUUAUCGUGAGUGGUGAUGAAUUGCACAAACGUCCAAGAGGAACCUUACCUGGUGGUGUUUGCCUUCACAUAUGUUCAACGUCAUGCCAACUUUUAAUGUAGAAACCUAACAAAUAAAAAGAAUUGUCUCAGAAAAUAAAAUUGUUAUUGUGUUUUUAUGAGACUUCUGUCAUGGCUACUGGAUUUUAUAGCUUCUACAAUAUCCACUUUCCCUUGUUGUGUGACCUUCAUUUUGGCUGAAACACCAUCCAUUACUGGUCUGCAGUCAAUUCUCAGUACCUGUACCCCUAUAUUCCUGUUGGGGGUGCUCAUCACCCAUGUUCCUCAACACAACCCGCCCCCCCCCCACUGAGGUAAACAUUACUCCAAGCAUUACUCAACAAGUAGUGUAGGAAACAGUUAUCCCUCUAGAUGGAAAAUUCCAUGGAGAGCAAGAGCUAUGUUUUGUUUAAUUACCUCCCCAUAUACAGUAUCCAAUAUAGCUCCAGGAAUAUAGUAGGCUAUCAAUGUACAUUUGGUGAACGAAUAUAUGUAAAUGAUGUGGAUAAAAUAUUUUUGAAUAAUAAUUGAUGUUUAGUUUCUUUUCUUUCCCUCCCUUCCUUCCUUCCCUCCUUCCUUCCCUCCCUCUUUCCCUCCUUCCUUCCUUCCCUCCUUCCUUCCCUCCUUCCUUCCUUCCUGUUUUCUUGCUUUCUUCUUCAUAUCAAGGGCCUUGUAGCUUCCAGCAUCAGGACAUUUUUCUUUUAAAAUAGUCAUCUUAGCAGGAGUGAGAUGUGACCCAUGAACUCAAUGGCUCAUACAAACAAACAUUUCUUUCUUGCACUCCUUACACGUCAGAGGCGGCGGGUUGGGGCCUUCAGCUCCCCUCCCCAUGUUCCUCAUUCUGAAGCCUGUCUGGAGGAGAUGCUUUUGUUGAGGAUAUGUGGUUCCUAUUGGGAAGAAAAAAAAACAAGAGAAUUGGAAGAAAUUCAAAUGACAUUUUUGAUGCUUCUGCUUGGUCUUGAUUCAUGCCACAUUUGCUCACCUUCCACUGGCCGAACCUGUAACGUGACCAGACCCAGAAUCAGUGGGGAGGGACAUAAAAUAUCUUACAAAGAAAGGGGAAGCAAAUCUUUGGAAACAACAAUACAAUCCACCUUACCUGUCUAUAAAAUUGCUCCUGUAAAGUAAGUAUGUUUCAGAAAGUAGCCCCCAUUUUUAAGUGUGACUUCCAAGGACCAGGAUUUGUUAUUCAAAAUGCUUAGUUAAAAUCGCAUAAAUUAGAAAGUCCUUUGGCAACAAACACUGAAUUCGAGGUGUACAAUUUAACUAUCUGUGACCUUUGUAAGUUUCAUGGUCACCAGCCAUCUCUGAAUCUUCGCGUCAGGGUAGGUAAAAAACUGAACUAAAAUAUCUAUCUUAUAAAGUUUUCAUGCACAUUAUAUAAUAACAUGUAAAAAAAAAAAAAGUCCAAGGGCAGCUCCAGAUUUAGAGUAGCACCUCACCCCUCUUCUCCUUUCUCUAAAAUGUCCUUAUGCUGGAAGAAACACUUAGUUUCACUGCUUUGCCCCGUACCUGUUGGCUUCCUGAAAUCUGCUUUCUCUUGGCAACUUUAACAAGAACACACCUAAGCUACGUGACAUCAACUGGCUUAGAUAUUGACAGCUGGGGAUGUGUUCUCCACCUCCAGGGCUCGGGGUUCAGCUGGUGUCUGUAUCCAACCUCAGGCAAUAUAUUAUCCCAACAUACAGUAUUUGGUAUAAAUAAAGGAAGGAGUUUUGUUUUUCCUUUUUAACUCUAGAGAUCUGCUAGGUCACUGUCAUUCCUGCCGUCUCUUGCUGUACCCUUCAGAAGCAAGGCAUUGAGAGACUUAUGUAAGAAUAUAGUUUCUGGCAGCAGGAAACUCAACUUUUCAAUUUUAUUCUUGAAGAAGAAUCUCUCUUCUCUCCCGCCCACAUGCUUUUAAAACAUCUCAGAAUAAAGUUACUGUUUGUGCUGUCUUCCAACUCGAAUAAUCUGACAGAUUGCUUCUGAAAGAAAUCUUAAGUUAAAUCAAAAUACGAAACUUUAAUUAACAAAUAUAAGCAAUGCUGUACAUAUGGAUUUUGCCUAAAAUCAUGACAAUUUCCUCUGUUUGUCAGGCCCUUGGUCAAAGUCAAGAGUGUUUGUUAGUUUGACUUUGGACUAGCAAGAACAAACAAUAAAUAUUUACGGAGCUAUGUAAAGUGUUACGAUGUACAUGUAUAAUUACAUAUGUAUAUUUUAUACAUAUAUAACAGUUUAGCAAUAAAGUUAUUUAAUGGUG